This is a long non-coding RNA of Quercus robur (English oak), 295 nucleotides long. RefSeq lists it as uncharacterized. Lineage: Eukaryota; Viridiplantae; Streptophyta; Magnoliopsida; Fagales; Fagaceae. The record is from RefSeq and is a predicted model, not a curated record. The transcript has 3 exons.
GUCUCACAUAUUUUUGCUGAUGGGAUUUCUUUUGCUUCAGCCGAAUAUUGAAUGUUGAUUUUCUUCACUGUGGCUGUGGGUGGAGACUUCAGGUUCUAAUUCUACUGAAUUGUUGUGAUUCAAGGGAGGUUGAUUUCCUUUAUUUUUGCAGCUAAGAGAUACAUUAGGUGGAUUACUGGAGUAGAGAUUCUUGGGAGACAGAAGUUACAAAUUAUUUUUGUGGAACUGAGGAUUUUAUUAUUAUUUUAUGACAUUAAACUUUGUAUUGGAGAAUAAUUUUUGAGGAUGUUUUGUA